UGCUUUCCUGACAAUAUGAUUCUUGAAGGCCUUAUGCGCUUUGACUUUGUCAUACCAUAAAUAUGCAUGCCACCCAAACACAUUAUCGAAACCUUCUAAAUCUAAAAUGUCCACAUUUUCAAGAAGUAGCCAAUCUUUCAGCCAACAAAAAGCGGCUGAUUCAUAGUAAAGUUUAAGAUCUGGCAGGGCAAAUCCCCCUCUUUCCUUUGCAUCUGUUAGUAUCUUAAAUUUUAUUCUGGGCUUUUUGCCCU
Molecule: non-coding RNA, 251 nt
Organism: Podarcis lilfordi (Lilford's wall lizard)
Lineage: Eukaryota; Metazoa; Chordata; Lepidosauria; Squamata; Lacertidae
Source: the annotation of a GenBank genome assembly